This 402-nucleotide ribosomal RNA is filed under the name uncultured Alphaproteobacteria bacterium. RNAcentral describes it as "bacterial SSU rRNA". It matches the Rfam family "Bacterial small subunit ribosomal RNA", at positions 355 to 774 of the family's 1533-position model. Lineage: Bacteria; Pseudomonadati; Pseudomonadota; Alphaproteobacteria. The record is from RNAcentral.
UGGGGAAUAUUGGACAAUGGGCGCAAGCCUGAUCCAGCCAUGCCGCGUGAGUGAUGAAGGCCUUAGGGUUGUAAAGCUCUUUCGCAAGGGAAGAUAAUGACGGUACCUUGAUAAGAAGCCCCGGCUAACUUCGUGCCAGCAGCCGCGGUAAUACGAAGGGGGCUAGCGUUGUUCGGAAUUACUGGGCGUAAAGCGCGCGUAGGCGGCUUGCCAAGCCAGAGGUGAAAAUCCCGGGGCUCAACCCCGGAACUGCCUUUGGAACUGGUAGGCUAGAGACCCGGAGGGGCAGUGGAAUUCCUAGUGUAGAGGUGAAAUUCGUAGAUAUUAGGAGGAACACCAGUGGCGAAGGCGACUGCCUGGCCGGGUACUGACGCUGAGGUGCGAAAGCGUGGGGAGCAAACA